AAGCCUGAAGUUCGCUGAUCCAGAGCAGGUUUUUUACAAACAUGUCUAAAGCCUAACAGCUGAGGGACAGGCUGAAACAACUGCCAACAGCUGCUGAUGAAGAAAUAUUUGAAUUGUUAGCAGGGUUGAUAGCAAACCAUGAAGAAGAAAUUCAUCGUUUAAAAGAAGAGAACAAAGGACGGAAAGUUCUGGAAGCUGCUUUUAAUCCUCGAGUUCGCUUGUACAAAGCAGGACAAGAACUCCUGAAGAAGGA
This is a long non-coding RNA of Thalassophryne amazonica, 253 nucleotides long. RefSeq lists it as uncharacterized. The record is from RefSeq and is a predicted model, not a curated record. The transcript has 5 exons. Lineage: Eukaryota; Metazoa; Chordata; Actinopteri; Batrachoidiformes; Batrachoididae.